RNAcentral lists this ribosomal RNA (440 nucleotides) under uncultured bacterium. RNAcentral describes it as "partial 16S ribosomal RNA". It matches the Rfam family "Bacterial small subunit ribosomal RNA", at positions 338 to 795 of the family's 1533-position model. The record is from RNAcentral.
CCUACGGGAGGCAGCAGUAGGGGAUAUUGCACAAUGGGGGAAACCCUGAUGCAGCGACGCCGCGUGAGUGAAGAAGUAUUUCGGUAUGUAAAGCUCUAUCAGCAGGGAAGAAAAUGACAGUACCGAACCAAGAAGCCCCGGCUAACUACGUGCCAGCAACCGCGGGAAUACGUAGGGGGCAAGCGUUAUCCGGAUUUACUGGGUGGAAAGGGAGCGUAGACGGUUAAGUAAGUCUGGAGUUAAAGCCCGGGGCCCAACCCCGGGACUGCUUUGGAAACUGUGUAACUGGAGUACAGGAGGGGCAGGCGGAAUUCCUGGUGUAGCGGUGAAAUGCGUAGAUAUCAGGAGGAACACCGGCGGCGAAGGCGGCCUGCUGGACUGAAACUGACGUUGAGGCUCGAAAGCGUGGGGAGCAAACAGGAUUAGAUACCCCGGUAGUC